UAAUCAAACUUAAGGCACCAAAAAGGAAAAAAUAUCUGUGUUCUCCAAUAUCAGCCCUAUCUAUUGUUGCUCAAAAUUUCCAUCGGCUAUUCUCCAAUAUCACGGCCUAGCUAUUGUUGCUCAAAAUUUCCAUUGGCAAUUUUCUCAUUGAACGCAACUGGCAGCGAUUUCAUCAAGUUUUUUCAACUCUGCGGUGAUCCAUAUCAAAAGAGACGUCACUUCUUGCUCCAUCAUUGGCAACCCUGGAUGUAUAAUUGCUUAUCAGGCACCAAAUUAGGAUGGUAGUAAGAAUGAACAGCCAGAGAAUCAAUCAGAGUCUCACAACGAGUCUUCAUCCCUUUCAACUGGAAUGUCUAUCCCUGGCACUGUAACACCAAAUAUGAACUAUGUGAUGCCCACACAAUUUGGAAAUGGAAAUGAUAUGGUAUAUUUAAAGUACCUAUUAACUUCUACCGCCAUAUUUUUGAAGCACCACUAUUAAGUCUUGAUUUGAUAUCUUCUUCCUCUUGAUAAUUAUUAUGGCUGACAGAUGCAACUCCUCCCCCCCUGUUCAUUCAAUCAGAUGUGAUCCUAGAAGUUUUAUCAUGAUGCAGUUAGGGGUCUCGUCCAAUAGUUUAUAAGUAUCACAAAAAAACUGAUUGUGAACAAAAGGAGUUAGGGCAUGUAGAUCUAUUGAUGAUGGUUCUGUGAGUAUUAUCAUUUUUGCACUUGUUAAAAGGCUUCUUUGUUUUGUGAGAUGAAGUGCACAUGUUUAUAUUUUGUCAUAGUAAUAAUAAGUUAUAUCAUUUUGAUCUUCCUUGAUGAUUAGCAGAGACAUCACUUUGACACUUGUAACAGGUAACCUUGUAUAUAACUUGCUAAAUAAUUGGUUGUGCAAAAGCAUGAAAGCCCAGUUGGUAAUAAAUAGGUUAAUAUGGGGCAUAUGGAGCUAUGACUGCACUUAUGACGCAGAGAUAAAUACAUAUGAUGCAAAAGACUUUAGUUAUAUGAAUGAAUAGUCAGAUGUUUCCAGUCAACAAAUAAACUGUAGAAAGUUUCUUAACAUAUAGCACAACAGAAUACACUGGUGUUUUUUAGGUUAUUUGAGCAAAUAAUGGGUGAGUAUGAAUCAUUGAAGCGGCAGAUUAAUGCAUCAAGUAUUUGUAGUAUACCAAAUGUAUUCAGUAGUAGGAUGGGAAAUAUUUCUACUUAUAGAUUGUCAUGUUUUAUACCUGGCUGAUAUAGCAAGGGCCGAUAGUCCUGAUAAGUGAUUAGAAAAUUUGCAUGUUUAACUGGAGUCGAAUUUUUAAACUAGAAGAAGUCAAUUUCUGGUGAUGGCAAUCCCUACACCACUAUCGAGCUCUGCCGCUACCGGUGGCGGCUAUCAGAACCCUAACAAAUCAUAAGGAUUUUUUGCAAGUGCAAUAAAGAGGAAGCACAACUUUAUAUAAUUCUUCGCUAUGACGGGAAUUCUUCUUCUGAAUGUGAGAUCAUUAGGGAAGAAGUAUCAAAUACAUGAUCUGCAGGAGGAUAACGCUACACUAAGGGAAGAACAAGAAGGAUUGUUAACUGAAUGAAUCAUAUUAAGCAAAGCCUCCUUGCUGAAGUGGUGCUUUUGCUUCAAGUCUUCGUCAGCUAUUUGGCGAUGAAAGCUAAAACAUUGCAGGCUCAAACAACUUAUCCUUAUCUAGACCCAUACUAUAGGAGCAUCUUUGCACCGUACGAUGCACAUCCUUAUCCUACACAACCUUAUCCAGCACAACCAAUGGUUCACGUUCACCUAAUGGGAAUUCAACAAGCUGGUGUUCCUUUGCCAUCAGACGCGAUAGAUGAACCUAUUUUUGUUAAUGCAAAAUAGUAUCAUGGAAUCUUAAGGCGUCGACAAUCUCGCGCAAAAGCUGAGUCAGAAAAGAAACUUCUAAAAGCUAGGAAGGAUGUCAGGGAAGAUCCACAUAUAGUAGUGGAUGGUUAUAUAUAAGGUGAUGUAAUAAAAGGAUGGAUGUACAGUGGACACGAUACUUCUCCGAUGACAAAACUCAAGAUCGAUACUUGUGAUUUGAUUCCCAAUUAUGCUCUCUAUCACACAAUUCAGGAAUGGCAGCAGCAGUCCUGAAACUCAUUCAGGUCUAUAAUGCCUUCUACAAACAAAAACAGCUUCAAAUAUGAACUAUGUACUGAUAUAGAAAGUUAGUCAUGUCUUGUGGUAGUUCCACCAAGUUAAUACUUGGAUUUGAGUUAUAAUAACUUGUGAGGUAAGUAUAUAAGUAUUACUACAAUACUGAGAUGUACAAAUUUUAUCACUAUGUAUACUGGAUUUGAUUCUCGAUAGUAAUCUGAUAUGAAUUGAUGAAAUUUAUUAUUUUCUGA
This is an RNA transcript of Capsicum annuum, 2346 nucleotides long. It is a transcript of the gene named nuclear transcription factor Y subunit A-7, with no coding region annotated. NCBI's taxonomy places the organism in Eukaryota, Viridiplantae, Streptophyta, Magnoliopsida, Solanales, Solanaceae. The record is from RefSeq and is a predicted model, not a curated record. The transcript has 5 exons.